RNAcentral lists this unclassified non-coding RNA (328 nucleotides) under soil metagenome. RNAcentral's name for it is "partial contains 5.8S ribosomal RNA, internal transcribed spacer 2, and large subunit ribosomal RNA". The stretch from base 1 to 120 matches the Rfam family "5.8S ribosomal RNA", at positions 35 to 154 of the family's 154-position model. The record is from RNAcentral.
GAUGAAGAACGUAGCGAAAUGCGAUAAGUAAUGUGAAUUGCAGAAUUCAGUGAAUCAUCGAAUCUUUGAACGCACAUUGCGCCCCUUGGUAUUCCGGGGGGCAUGCCUGUUCGAGCGUCAUUUCAACCCUCAAGCUUCUGCUUGGUCUUGGGCCGUGCCGGCAACGGCUGGCCUUAAAACUAGUGGCGGUGCCAUCGAGCUCUACGCGUAGUAAUUCUAUCUCGCGUCUGGGCUUCGGUGGACGCUGGCCAGCAACCCCCAAUUUUCUAUGGUUGACCUCGGAUCAGGUAGGGAUACCCGCUGAACUUAAGCAUAUCAUAAGCGGAGG